RNAcentral lists this ribosomal RNA (492 nucleotides) under uncultured bacterium. Its description in RNAcentral is "partial 16S ribosomal RNA". It matches the Rfam family "Bacterial small subunit ribosomal RNA", at positions 29 to 507 of the family's 1533-position model. The record is from RNAcentral.
AGUGAACGCUGGCGGUAGGCCUAACACAUGCAAGUCGAACGGCAGCACAGUAAGAGUUUGCUCUUACGGGUGGCGAGUGGCGGACGGGUGAGGAAUACAUCGGAAUCUACUUUUUCGUGGGGGAUAACGUAAGGAAACCUACGCUAAUACCGCAUACGCCCUACGGGUGAAAGCAGGGGAUCUUUGCGCCUUGCGCGAAUGAACUAGCCGCUGUCGGACUGGCUAGUUGGCGGGGGAAAGGCCCAGCAAGGCGGCGAUCCGUAGCCGGUCUGAGUGGAUGGUCGGCGACACUGGAACUGAGACAGCGUCCAGGCGCCUACGGGAGGCAGCAGUGGGGAAUAGUAGGCAAUAGGCGCAAGCCUUAUCCAGCCAUACCGCGUGUGUGAAGAAGGCCUUCGGUGUGGAAAGCCCUUUUGUUGGGAGAGAAAAGCAGCAGGUUAAGACCCCGCGGUUCUGACGGUACCCAAAGAAGAAGCACCGGCUAACUUCGUG